This 488-nucleotide ribosomal RNA is filed under the name uncultured bacterium. RNAcentral's name for it is "partial 16S ribosomal RNA". It matches the Rfam family "Bacterial small subunit ribosomal RNA", at positions 28 to 507 of the family's 1533-position model. The record is from RNAcentral.
GAUGAACGCUAGCGGCAGGCCUAAUACAUGCAAGUCGGACGGGAUCCAUUGAUAGCUUGCUCUCAAUGGUGAGAGUGGCGCACGGGUGCGUAACGCGUGAGCAACCUGCCUCCAUCAGGGGGAUAGCCUCUCGAAAGAGAGAUUAACACCGCAUAAUAUCAACAGUUCGCAUGUUCAGUUGAUUAAAUAUUUAUAGGAUGGAGAUGGGCUCGCGUGACAUUAGCUAGUUGGUAGGGUAACGGCUUACCAAGGCGACGAUGUCUAGGGGCUCUGAGAGGAGAAUCCCCGACACUGGUACUGAGACACGGACCAGACUCCUACGGGAGGCAGCAGUAAGGAAUAUUGGUCAAUGGGCGGAAGCCUGAACCAGCCAUGCCGCGUGCAGGAUGACUGCCCUAUGGGUGGUAAACUGCUUUUGUCCAGGAAUAAACCUAAAUACGAGUAUUUAGCUGAAUGUACUGGAAGAAUAAGGAUCGGCUAACUCCGUG